GACGAACGCUGGCGGUGUGCUUCACACAUGCAAGUCGAACGAGGUAGCAAUACCUAGUGGCGGACGGGUGAGUAACCGCGUGGGAAUCUGCCUUUAGAUGGGGGAUAACGGGUCGAAAGACUCGCUAAUACCGCAUAUGACGAAAGUUGAAAGGAGUAAUCCGUCUAAAGAUGAGCCCGCGUCCGAUUAGCUAGUUGGUAGAGUAAAAGCCUACCAAGGCGACGAUCGGUAGCUGGUCUGAGAGGAUGAUCAGCCACAAUGGGACUAGAGACACGGCCCAUACUCCUACGGGAGGCAGCAGUGGGAAUUUUACGCAAUGGGCGAAAGCCUGACGUAGCGACACCGCGUGAGCGAAGAAGCCCCUUGGGGUGUAAAAGCUCUGUCAGCUGGGACGAAAAAAAAUUGACGGGUACCAGCAGAGGAAGCCAU
RNAcentral lists this ribosomal RNA (429 nucleotides) under uncultured bacterium. Its description in RNAcentral is "bacterial SSU rRNA". It matches the Rfam family "Bacterial small subunit ribosomal RNA", at positions 28 to 494 of the family's 1533-position model. The record is from RNAcentral.